AUUGAACGCUGGCGACAUGCUUUACACAUGCAAGUCGAACGGCAGCACGGGUGCUUGCACCUGGUGGCGAGUGGCGGACGGGUGAGUAAUGCAUCGGAACGUGUCCUGAAGUGGGGGAUAACGCAUCGAAAGAUGUGCUAAUACCGCAUAUUCUCUGAGGAGGAAAGUAGGGGAUCGAAAGACCUUAUGCUUUUGGAGCGGCCGAUGUCUGAUUAGCUAGUUGGUAGGGUAAUGGCUUACCAAGGCGACGAUCAGUAGUUGGUCUGAGAGGACGACCAGCCACACUGGGACUGAGACACGGCCCAGACUCCUACGGGAGGCAGCAGUGGGGAAUUUUGGACAAUGGGCGCAAGCCUGAUCCAGCAAUGCCGCGUGAGUGAAGAAGGCCUUCGGUUGUAAGACUCUUUCAGUUGUAGAAGAAAAAGUACGUAGACUAAUAAUACAUGAUUCAUGACGGUAUCAACAGAAGAAGACACCGGCUAACUACG
Molecule: ribosomal RNA, 488 nt
Filed under: uncultured bacterium
Lineage: Bacteria
Description: bacterial SSU rRNA
Rfam family: Bacterial small subunit ribosomal RNA
Source: RNAcentral